UGAUUGAAUCAGGCUUGACAGUCUUUUCGAAUUUGGCUCGUUUCGAACUCAAUUUGAAUCUGAUUGAGGCCCUAUUUGAACCAGAAGAACUUUGAUUUGGAGAGUCCUAGUCCCUUAGGACUCUCUCUCCAGAUCUCAUGCCAUGAAGGGAAUAGGCAAUGGUUUUAUCACUAUUUUUUUUUUCAUGCAUGCGUGAUGAGAAAGGGGGCGC
RNAcentral lists this long non-coding RNA (211 nucleotides) under Elaeis guineensis (African oil palm). Its description in RNAcentral is "long non-coding RNA (EGUI_LNC029506)". Lineage: Eukaryota; Viridiplantae; Streptophyta; Magnoliopsida; Arecales; Arecaceae. The record is from RNAcentral.